AUUGAACGCUGGCGGCAUGCUUUACACAUGCAAGUCGAACGGUAACAGGCCUUCGGGUGCUGCCGAGUGGCGAACGGGUGAGUAAUGCAUCGGAACGUGCCCAGAGGUGGAGGAUAACGCAGCGAAAGCUGUGCUAAUACCGCAUGUGAUCUGAGGAUGAAAGCGGGGGACCAAGCAGCAAUGUUUGGCCUCGCGCCUCUGGAGCGGCCGAUGUCAGAUUAGGUAGUUGGUGGGGUAAAGGCCUACCAAGCCGACGAUCUGUAGCUGGUCUGAGAGGACGACCAGCCACACUGGGACUGAGACACGGCCCAGACUCCUACGGGAGGCAGCAGUGGGGAAUUUUGGACAAUGGGCGCAAGCCUGAUCCAGCAAUGCCGCGUGCGGGAAGAAGGCCUUCGGGUUGUAAACCGCUUUUGUACGGAACGAAAAGGCUCUGGCUAAUACCUGGGGCUGAUGACGGUACCGUAAGAAUAAGCACCGGCUAACUACGUG
This 492-nucleotide ribosomal RNA is filed under the name uncultured bacterium. RNAcentral's name for it is "partial 16S ribosomal RNA". It matches the Rfam family "Bacterial small subunit ribosomal RNA", at positions 30 to 507 of the family's 1533-position model. The record is from RNAcentral.